CGGGUGAGUAAUGUAUGGGGAUCUGCCUGAUGGCGGGGGAUAACUACUGGAAACGGUAGCUAAUACCGCAUAAUGUCUACGGACCAAAGCGGGGGACCUCCGGGCCUCGCGCCAUCAGAUGAACCCAUAUGGGAUUAGCUAGUAGGUGGGGUAACGGCUCACCUAGGCGACGAUCCCUAGCUGGUCUGAGAGGAUGACCAGCCACACUGGAACUGAGACACGGUCCAG
Molecule: ribosomal RNA, 228 nt
Filed under: uncultured bacterium
Lineage: Bacteria
Description: partial 16S ribosomal RNA
Rfam family: Bacterial small subunit ribosomal RNA
Source: RNAcentral